CCAGACUCCUACGGGAGGCAGCAGUGGGGAAUAUUGCACAAUGGGGGGAACCCUGAUGCAGCGACGCCGCGUGAGUGAAGAAGUAUUUCGGUAUGUAAAGCUCUAUCUGCAGGGAAGAUAAUGACGGUACCUUACUAAGAAGCCCCGGCUAACUACGUGCCAGCAGCCGCGGGAAUACGUAGGGGGCAAGCGUUAUCCGGAUUUACUGGGUGUAAAGGGUGCGUAGGUGGCAGGGCAUGUCAGAUGUGAAAGCCCGGGGCCCAACCCCGGUACUGCAUUUGAAACUGUCCGGCUGGAGUGCAGGAGAGGUAAGCGGAAUUCCUAGUGUAGCGGUGAAAUGCGUAGAUAUUAGGAGGAACACCGGUGGCGAAGGCGGCUUACUGGACUGUAACUGACACUGAGGCACGAAAGCGUGGGGAGCAAACAGGAUUAGAUACCCCGGUAA
This 445-nucleotide ribosomal RNA is filed under the name uncultured bacterium. RNAcentral's name for it is "bacterial SSU rRNA". It matches the Rfam family "Bacterial small subunit ribosomal RNA", at positions 331 to 793 of the family's 1533-position model. The record is from RNAcentral.